UGCGUAGGCGGUUUGUUAAGUCAUUUGUAAAAGAUCUCAGCCCAACUGAGUAAGGCGAAUGAAACUGGCAGACUUGAAUACGGUAGAGGUAAGUGGAAUUCCAUGUGUAGCGGUGGAAUGCGUAGAUAUAUGGAGGAACACCAAUGGCGAAGGCAACUUACUGGGCCGGAAUUGACGCUGAGGCACGAAAGCGUGGGGAGCAAACAGGAUUAGAUACCCUGGUAGUCC
Molecule: ribosomal RNA, 228 nt
Filed under: uncultured bacterium
Lineage: Bacteria
Description: partial 16S ribosomal RNA
Rfam family: Bacterial small subunit ribosomal RNA
Source: RNAcentral